RNAcentral lists this ribosomal RNA (494 nucleotides) under uncultured bacterium. Its description in RNAcentral is "partial 16S ribosomal RNA". It matches the Rfam family "Bacterial small subunit ribosomal RNA", at positions 28 to 507 of the family's 1533-position model. The record is from RNAcentral.
GACGAACGCUGGCGGCGUGCUUAAUACAUGCAAGUCGAACGGUGAAGCGUCUUACUUUUUGGUGGGUGAGGAUGAGUGGCGAACGGGUGAGUAACACGUGAGUCACCUGUUCCCUUCUUCUGGAUAACCGCAUGAAAGUGCGGUUAAUACGGGAUAUUCUGGGUCUGUCGCAUGAUGGGUCUGGGAUAGAUUUUGAUUCGGCGGGGGAUGGGCUCGCGGCCUUUCAGUUUGUUGGUGGGGUGAUGGCCUACCAGGGCGGUGACGGGCAGCCGGCCUGGGAGGGUGGACGGUCUCACUGGGAGUGAGGCACGGCCCAGACUCCUGCGGGAGGCAGCGGGAGGGAUUAGUGCACAAUGGGCGCAAGCCUGAUGCAGCGACGCCGCGUGAGGGAUGGAGGCCGUCGGUUUGUGAACCUCUUUCGCCAGGGAAGCAGGCCUGCCUCGUUUGUGGGUGGGUUGACGGUAGCUGGAUAAGAAGCGCCGGCUAACUACGUG